CGAAAAGAAUUCAGUCCGUCCAUUGUUUUUCGAGUUUGAGGGCCUUAACGAUAACCAAAUUGGCUGAAAUUUUGCAGAGAUGAUCUGCACAAUAUUAUCUAGAUACUAGACGAUGGAGAUGAGAAAAUUCGAUCGAAAAGUGGUGCAAAAAUGGAAAUCCGCACCAAAACCAUUGGUGCGGACGUCCGCACCUGAUCAGCAUUGUAUAUAUAUAUAAUCUGCACCAAAACCAUUGGUGCGAACGUCCGCACCUGAUCAACAUUGUAUAUAUAUGUAAUACCGGUCACGCUCGCCGCCGAGGCCGAAAUCCCGAACUCGACCGGAAACCCAAUCGCCUUCUCUCCUCCUUUUCUCUCUCACUGGAGCUUCGCAUCGAAAACGAAGAUAAUCUUGAGGACGAGGACAACGAGACGGACCUGUGGACACCGACCUUGCACCGAGAGGCGACCGGACGACGGACGGAGCGAUCGAUCUGUGUGGGACUGGGUCGAACUGAUCCAGUUCCUAUCUCUUAUGUAAUUAAACGAACAAUCUAGGUUCAGCGGUUUAAACUCCUACGGUCCAGAUCAAGCCACGCUUUAAUUUCUAUUUUUGAUUAAAUUUUUGAAUAAUACACUACCAGGACAAGCACUUUAGCCGACGAAACGGUAGUGUAAGCACUUUAGCCGACGAAAAAGUUUCGUCGGCCUGUUAGCUUAAUUCGUCGGCUAAGAUCUUAGCCGACGAGCCUUCGUCGGCUAUGGUUUCGUCGGGAAAGGGUCGUUGGCGAUGACUUUAGCCGACGACACUAGAAGACAUAGUCGGCUUUAGUCCCAGAAUUUAGCCGACGAUACGAAAAAGAGAUCGUCGGCUUUUUUCCCAGAAUUUAGCCGACGAAUAUCUUAAAUGUUUCGUCGACCGUAGUCUGAGACUUUAGCCGAAAAAACGUAUAAUAUAUUCGUUGGCUAUAGUAUGUAAUAAAAAAAAUAUAAAAUAAAUAAAGCCGACGAAAUAUAGUCUGUUUCAUCGGCUUUAGAAGGGUUUAGCCGAUGAAACAUUCCAUAAUUCGUCGGCUAAACCUUAUAAAAAAAAAUUAAAAAUACUAUAGCCGAGAAUUAUGGCGUAUUUCGUCGGAUAUAAUUCCAUUCCAGUAAAAAAAAAACCCGAAAUUUCUAAAUUACUAUUCCAAUCAAGCUGCAAAAUACACCAAAACAAUUCCAUAUAACCAACAACAAGCACAUAAAACUAUAUAAUUCAUCAACUACACAAAAUCUAGAUCGUCUAAAUUAAUAUCCGCUUCUGGGGGCUGCUGCGGAGGUUGCAACGGCUGGGGUAGCGGUAUAGCCGUAGGCAUGGGCGGAGCCGGAAGUCCCUGAAGCUGGGCAGCUGUAAACUCCUGCAUGUACUAAAACAUCUGCCGCUGCUGGGCCUGCUAGAUGGCAUAUAUCUCGGCUGCCUGCGCUGUAUUAUAGGCUGCCUGCGCGGCAUUAUAGGCAACCUGAGCAGCUUGCUGUUCCCGUAGUCUCUGAACUUCCAACUCUAGCUGAGUCGUCUUAGUGGUCGUGGUCCUGCUGCUGGUCGAGGCUGCCUUUCGUUGAAAUCCUGGAGUGGUCUUCAGGACCCCCUCGCCCUUCUUUCCUAGACCCUGGCAGUUAGUAAGUUGUUUUGCUCGCG
Molecule: long non-coding RNA, 1653 nt
Filed under: Fragaria vesca (wild strawberry)
Lineage: Eukaryota; Viridiplantae; Streptophyta; Magnoliopsida; Rosales; Rosaceae
Description: long non-coding RNA (FVES_LNC004091)
Source: RNAcentral